GACGGGGGCCCGCACAAGCGGUGGAGUAUGUGGUUUAAUUCGAUGCAACGCGAAGAACCUUUACCUGGUCUUGACAUCCCAGAAAUCCCUUUGGAAACUUGGGAGUGCUUCCAUUAGGAAGAAUCUGGAGACAGGUGCUGCAUGGCUGUCGUCAGCUCGUGUCGUGAGAUGUUGGGUUAAGUCCCGCAACGAGCGCAACCCUUGCCUUUAGUUGCCAGCAGUUCGGCUGGGCACUCUAAAGGGACUGCCGGUGUUAAACCGGAGGAAGGUGGGGAUGACGUCAAGUCCUCAUGGCCUUUAUGACCAGGGCUACACACGUACUACAAUGGCCGAUACAAAGGGCAGCGACAUUGCGAAAUGAAGCCAAUCCCAUAAAUUCGGUCUCAGUCCGGAUUGGAGUCUGCAACUCGACUCCAUGAAGUUGGAAUCGCUAGUAAUCGUGGAUCAGCAUGCCACGGUGAAUACGUUCCCGGGCCUU
This 478-nucleotide ribosomal RNA is filed under the name uncultured Desulfobulbus sp. Its description in RNAcentral is "bacterial SSU rRNA". It matches the Rfam family "Bacterial small subunit ribosomal RNA", at positions 912 to 1382 of the family's 1533-position model. The record is from RNAcentral. Lineage: Bacteria; Pseudomonadati; Thermodesulfobacteriota; Desulfobulbia; Desulfobulbales; Desulfobulbaceae.